CUAAGAAUAUUCCGCAAUGGACGGAAGUCUGACGGAGCGACGCCGCGUGGAUGAAGAAGGCCGAAAGGUUGUAAAGUUCUUUUGCUGGGGAAGAAUAACCGCAGGAGGGAAUGCCUGUGGGAUGACAAGAACCGGCGAAUAAGCCCCGGCCAACUACGUGCCAGCAGCCGCGGUAACACGUAGGGGGCGAGCGUUGUUCGGAAUUACUGGGCGUAAAGGGCAUGUAGGCGGCUUGGAAAGCCUGGCGUGAAAGUCUGCAGCUUAACUGCAGGGGUGCGCUGGGAACUGCUGAGCUUGAGUGACGGAGAGGGAGCUGGAAUUCCUGGUGUAGGGGUGAAAUCUGUAGAUAUCAGGAAGAACACCGAUGGCGAAGGCAAGCUCCUGGCCGAUGACUGACGCUGAGGUGCGAAAGUGUGGGGAUCAAAACAGGAUUAGAUACCCUGGUAGUCCACACAGUCAACGAUGUGCACUAGGUGCUGGGGCGGUAGCUUCGGUGCCGGAGCGAAACGUGGUAAGUGCACCGCCUGGGGAGUAUGCUCGCAAGGGUGAAACUCAAAUGAAUUGACGGGGGUCAUANCUG
Molecule: ribosomal RNA, 580 nt
Filed under: uncultured bacterium
Lineage: Bacteria
Description: partial 16S ribosomal RNA
Rfam family: Bacterial small subunit ribosomal RNA
Source: RNAcentral